GGGGAUACUGGGGGAGGGAGGGUCUGGGCGCGUAGGAGGUGAUGAGCCCUCUGGGUGUUGUAUGGGGGCGCUCAUAUGGGUUUGGGAUCCGCUGGAUGCCCAGGGAGGGCCCUGCUCUAGGAACCGGACCUAUGGCAAAGCCUGGACAUGCCUGGAGCCGUCCUAAAUCACAGGAGGAAGAGGAGGAGGAUCCAGUGGAGGCCAUGGUGUCACGGACGGGCUGUGCAGAGCAGCACUGGGCACUGCAGGAGUGCAUGGCAGAGCAGCGGGACUGGCGGCGCUGCCAGGCUCAGGUCCAGGCCUUCCGGCAGUGCAUGGCACGGCAGCAGCGCCCACACCCUGAGGAGCUGCACCCCAACCCACCCCAAUGCUCCCCCCAUGGAGAUUGAAGCUCCCAGGACUGAACCUCCAGUAGGGACACUGCACCAGGCACCCUGACAGCUCUAUCAGUCCCCCAGAGAUGUGGGCUGUGCUAUGGGACACAUAUCCUGUUAUUUUUCCUAUUUUUUUUUUUUAAAGUGGAUUGUUAUCUUGCUUCAAUCAUCUUCAUUUUAAGCCAGGAAAUUAAAUGUGAUGGCAUUUCUCCUAGCUGAAGAACUCAUGUCUUUCUGCAAAGCACAGAGGGAACUGCUGCACUAUGGCAGUACCAUACAAUAAAGGUUUAAUCAAUGAGGCAGCAGCCCAAAGCACUGGGGUACUCACACCAGGAUUUCCACUCUGCCUUUCUCAAAGCUUUCAGCCUCUGGAAGGUGAGCUGCUCUCUUCUGGGAAGGCCCAAAAAUAUUUGGGGUGGGAGAAAAAGGGAGGUGAGGUGCAGCCCCACUGAACCUCGUGGCAAAUUAGCUGUAAAAAUGGACUCAAAUCCUCUCUUGGUUUGGAAGGGAAACUUGAGAUUUCUGUAGGUCUUCUACAGACCCCAGAUAUAGCAAGGAAAUGGCUCAUUUCCUAAUGAAAUGUAUCAGAAAAUACAUCUUUUUCUAAUCUCCUCUAAGCAUCCAAAAUAAGGCUGAAAUUCAAUUAGAGCAUACCUACCCAAUGAUCAGGUGGUCUCAGCCUAAAUUAAAGCAGCUUUAGAAUCACAGAAUGGUUUGGGUUGGAAGAACCUUAAGGAUCGCCCAGUUCCAACCUCCCUGCCUUAGGCAUUCAGAAAUACAAGGAGAAGAGCAAAAACUUGGGUGCUGUAACCUCUUCCACUCUUUGUCCACGUGGAUACCUACAAGCAGCAGCUCCCUUCCCCUACAAAGACAGGCUGAGGGAGCUGGGCUUGUUCAGCAUGGAGAAGAGAAGCUGCGGGGUGACCUCAGUGCAGCCUGCAGUGCCUGAAGGGAGCCUGCAGACAGGAGGGGAGUCAGCUCUUGGAAAGGGGAGAUGGCAGCAGGACAAGGGGAAAUGGUUUGGAGUUGAGGGAGGGCAGCUGGAGGUUGGAUGUCAGGGGGAAGUUGUUUAGAGAGAGAGUGGUGAGGUGCUGGAACAGCUGCCCAGAGAGGCUGUGAUGCCCCGUCCAUCCCUGGAGGUGUUGGAGGCCAGGUUGGAUGGGGCCCUGGGCAGCCUGGGCUGCUGUGAGCUGGGGAGGUUGGUGGCCCUGCAUUGGUGGG
This is an RNA transcript of Lagopus muta (rock ptarmigan), 1595 nucleotides long. It is a transcript of the gene named cytochrome c oxidase assembly factor 4 homolog, mitochondrial, with no coding region annotated. Lineage: Eukaryota; Metazoa; Chordata; Aves; Galliformes; Phasianidae. The record is from RefSeq and is a predicted model, not a curated record. The transcript has 3 exons.